RNAcentral lists this long non-coding RNA (5008 nucleotides) under Cricetulus griseus (Chinese hamster). RNAcentral's name for it is "lncRNA (ENSCGRG00000026411.1)". The record is from RNAcentral. Lineage: Eukaryota; Metazoa; Chordata; Mammalia; Rodentia; Cricetidae.
ACUGGAAAAUGAAGAGAAGAAGGGAUCCUCUAAGUUCAAAACCAACACUAGAGGCAAAACCAAACACUUUUCAAAGAAAAAUGUCAAGUAUUUUCUCUUCCUGAAUUCCGACAAGGGUGAAUAGUUAAUCAGUAUCUAGAUAGGAAAUCACCUACUUUUCUCUUGUCCCUUGCUUCUUUGGCAGGCAUGGCUCUGAACCCUCCAAAACCGCAGCUGUCACUCCCAUCUCUAUCCCGGUGGCUGUUCCAGCUGCUGCUGCUGCCACUGCUGCUGCCAUCACUGCAACCGCUGCCACCAACACUGCCACUGCUGCCACCAACACCACUAUCAUGGUAGCUGCUGCUCCAGUUCCUGUUGCUGCUGCUGCCCCAGCUCCGGCAAAUGCUGCUGCUCUUGCUGCUGCUGUCUCUCUAGUUGCUGCUGUUUCUCCAGCUAUUGCGGUCUCUCCAGCUGCUGCUGUCUCUCCAGCUGUUGCUGUCUCUCCAGCUGCUGCUGUCUCUCCAGCUGCUGCUGUCCAGAGUCCAGCUGCUUCAUCUCUUACUUCUGCUACUGUUUCUCCCACUCCUCCUGCUGCUACUGCUGCUGCUGCUGCAGCUGCUGCUGCUGCUGCUGCCACUGCUACUGCUGUUCAGGUUGCUCCAGCUGCUUCGGCUCCAGUUCCAGCUCCCGCUCCGAUUCCGGCUCCAGCAACGGCUCAGUCUUCUGCUCCGACUCCGACUCAAGCAUCAACUCCAGCUCCGACAGCAGCUCCUACUCCAGCUCCAACUCCAACUCCAGCUUUGGCUCAGGCUGAGGGUCCUGCAAGUCCAGGUACCGGUUCUGGACCUCGCCGUUUGUCCACACCAAAUCUGAUGUGCAACCCAGACAAGCCAGAUGUUCCUGUUUUCCACUGCAGUACUCUGGAAAGAAAAGCACCCAUUCAGAUCCUGGGUCAAGAACCUGACGCAGAGAUGGUGGAAUAUCUCAUCUAAAUGGCACAAUCAAGAGCUGAAGUUAUCAGCAAGAGCUCUUUUAACCACUUUUUCCCUUUUGUUUGUUUAAUCUGGGGUGAUGAUGGGGUUGGGAGGUGGGGGUGAUUUUUUAAAGGGACUUUUUAAUUGGACUCUUGUAGUACUUAAUACCAUGAGAAUUCCAGUCUAUUUUGGAAUACGUAGGGAGUACCUCAAAAUGAUAGGUUAAGCAGAAUGUGCUCUAAAGCUUACUGGUUGGAUUGAUACAAAUCAUGGACUAUUAACAGGUAGUGAUGUCCACUGAUUUAAGAUGUUUCCAUUUGUUUUUUAAGCGCCCAAUUUGAGGUCAUUUUUCAUUGAAGACUACAGUAUGUGUGGAAGGCAGUUUGGAACACGUAGUUCAGAAAUGGAAAUCCAGAGAGAGUUUGAGGCCUUGCUGCUUUGUCUAGCUUCUACCUAGACAACAGCCACAGAAAGUUCUCAUUUUGAGCUGGGAAAAGACAAUGUUUUUUAGGAGCUUUGAAAGCUGGAGAAAAGGAAGAGAGUAUUGGGGUUAAGAAGGGUGCUGGAGCCAAUUUUCUCUCCCAGUUGCCAGUUACCCUGCGCCCUCAAAUUGAUGGUGUUUAUCUCCAUUUCAAUGGUGCUUUGGAAGUGGAGUCUUUUGGUUCCCUCCUGGAGGUUCAUACAUUCAUAUAUGUACUCUGGAAUAAUUUAUGCAUUUGGAUAAUUAAUAUAUUGCUUUCAGAUGGUAGGAGAGUAAAUGAACAGAGUGAUGCAUGACUUCCUCUCUCAUAGGGAGCUUGUUGUUAGAAGCCUUGACUGGGGGCUUCGUGAGAUGCUGCAUGCAGGUUUCAGUGGUCUGGGAAUAGUUAUAUGAACAUGGCUCAGUCACCUUAAAUGAGAUCAGUUGACUGACUUAGCCUUUACUUCUUCCACAACGCAGAUUCACUGGCUGAUUCGCCAGUCUUUGUUUGCCAAUAAUUUGCAAAAUGAGGAAAACAUCUUUUUUGACAGGCUGAAUGUGUUGAAUUUCUGCCUAAUACUUAGAAAUAUUUCAUUUUUGUUUUCCCAAAUUCUUGGCAUGUGUCUUCAAGGCAUAUGCAACUGUCACCUCCAUGGAAAUAACAUAAGACGUCCAAAGUACCAGGCUGCAGUCAGGAGAGAGGUUGAUUGCAGCAAUCUCCUCAACUACCUCUUCUCACUGUCAGUGACUCUAUCUUGGAAUCCCCUUAGGAAGCAGCUGGGAAUGUAUACAUGGGCGGGACCAAACAGGGAGCCUUGCCAUAGGGCUGCCUCUAAGGACACAGAGGCUGUUAGUUGUCAUGGGUCCUUGUCCUUAGUCUCUGCCCUUCAUUAAGGUAAUAGAACUGCAGAUAGUAUCACUAAGAUCAAUUUGCAGGGGUAUAGGGAGGGUAAGGGGAGGGGGACUAUUAGGUAAAGGGGAGUAGAGGUUUAGUGAUAGAUUAAGUUAGAGAUCACAUUGCUUGUAUAUUAUACCAUGGGCUUUAGUGAGUGGGAAGGAACUUUAUCUAGCAGUGUAGCUCUGCCUUCUAAUUUUAGUGAUGAGGAAUCUGAGAUUUGGAAAAGUUUGACUUUUUCAAGAUCACACAGCACAUCUGUCUCUUCUAACAAUUACAUACCCAUUUGGGGGAAAUGGUUAUCUCUAAAGAAGAGCCUGUUUUUUGAAGAAAAGGUAUCUUCCUAGUCUAGGGUGUGCCUACUUUUGAAAAUCUUCUUGAUUUGACUAGAUUGUUUGUGGUUCUGAAUUCUUGUCUUGUCUCUGCUGGAGUGCCUUUAUGGAAUUGUUUUUUUCCUCAUCCCCCUUAAUCAUUGAGCUACAUGAAAUGCACCCCUAAGAAAUCAACUCAACUGUUUUUACUAUAAGACUGGGUGUCUUGGGUCAUUUUAUGUAUUCCUCUGUGAGUAUAUAAGAGUGCUAUAUUUACCUGUAUUCUUGUGUAGUUCCUAAUUACCUUCCAAAGGAUUUAUUUGUGUGUGUGUGUGUGUGUGUGUGUGUGUGUGUGUGUGUGUGUGUGUAGAUGAGGAAAAAAAAUGUGAGUUAGUUGUUCUGUGGACUCCAGGGACAGAACUCAAUCAUCCAAUACAUUGGUCCUCAGUUAAACAGUAAAUGCCAAAUAGAAAUUUGAAAGUGCAGUCAUGUUAAUAAUGCUCAUUCCCAUCAUUUUUGUUGCAAAGAAACAAACUUUCAGACAGUAGAAGAAUCAGGCAGCAAGCAGCAGGAGAGUUACUUUCUGCCCCCGCAAAUUAAUGAAAAUAAAAAACUUUUCGUGUCCUCUCUCUUGAUGAUAGCACAUUGCUAGAGUUUGGGCUGACUCUGGGAGCCACGAUCCUAAUCACAUUCUGUAAAGUGACAGAUGUGAUACAUUCCACACUGUGUGGCAACCAUCUCUUUAGAAUUGUGUGUUUGGGGAAAUAAGGACAUCCUUGCUGAAGUUUUGAACUUUCCAGAACCUCUCUGGCCUGCCACACUAGAGAUAGUCAUUCUGUUCAAUUUUCAGUCCUAGGCAAUUUGUUACAAGGACACUAUACAUCUAAGCAUGGGUGAAGACUAUGUUGGUACAGUCUGUUUAUGGAUCAUACAGACUCUACCUUUGAGAACAUUUCUACUAGAUAUCAGUUUUAAAAUUCAGUUUUAUGGGAUACAUCUCAAAAUAGCCACCUUCACAGUGUGUGGAUGUAAGAUUUGGAGCCUCUCCCUGGACUUCCUCCUGUCUAUAGUAAAAUGUAUGAAUUUUUCUGGCACCCCAGAAGAGGAGGGGGCAUUUAUUGUCUUAACUUUUACUGUCUGGUGGUUUCUGAGGACCUUAUAAUUCAUUUGUUGCCAGCAAUGUCCCAUGUCCAGCAACAUUUCUUUUGAUUGAACUAUACUUGAUACAAAACUGUUAACAUUGUUGGGGAAGUAAAGUCAGCUUGAAUUUCUCCAGAAAGUCAUGCAUUGUGACUGUUGUCUUAAUGAAGGUUUUCAUUUCAGUGUUGUUUUUGAGCUUCGGGGUGACGGGGUAUUAGAAACUUGAAGCAUCUGCCACAAUCCAUGACAGGAAACAGAGCAAGAUACCUGUCAUGUUCUCCUUUUACUUUUGCACUGUUGAAUGGGUCUAACAAAUUGGUUCCCAAGCUCCUUUUUAUGAAGAAUCUAAAUAAUGUGGCAGCUUAAAAUAGAGAUGUGUGCUAACUUUAAUACAUGCUCAUGUCUGUUAGCCAUACAGUCUGUUAUCUUAAAUGCUCAUUCAUACAUGGAAUAUGUUACUUAAAAUGUGUUCCUUCCAGAAAAUGUUUGCAAAGGGAGGUAUUGGCUGUGGGUUCAUUGUUACCAAUUUCUGCCUGCCACAAUCUUUAGAAAUUCUUCCAAGUGCCACCAUUGACAGUAGGACAAGGAUUGGAAGCAUGUACAUUUUCUUCUCGUAGCAAGGGUGGGUUACAAGAAGCUUUCAAACCUCCUUCUGACCUGUGUUAUCAAUGGUCUAUUUUAAUAAAAUGGCUAGAUGGGGUUGGCAGAUGGUUCGAGAAGAAUUUUGGUGUAAUAAAUGUGGUCUCAUAGUGAUUGUGAUCCUAUUCUGUAAUCAAGAGAACUAGAUCAAAUAAAGUUAAGCAGGUUAAAUCCACUUUGUGCCUAUCUUUUCACUGACAAUAAAGUUAGCUGUUUGAAAAUGCAGCCCUGUGUAGAAAAUGCUUUGGUGUUUACUGGAUAUAGGCAUUGUGUGAAGUUAGUGAUUAUUUUCAGUUCAGUACCCAGUAAAUUGUCCUGCACCAGCAGCAGCAGAAUUUGCAUUUGCUCAAAGUAUGGGAAGUGAUUAAAAGUCUUCAGACAACACAACAGGCAGUAUUCUCUAAUCAGUCAAAAAUAUAUCAAAAAGCUUUACACCGUUUUGCUUCCUUGUUCUGGAGGAUAAAAUGAUGGCCACCUUAAGCAGAAAAUUAAUUUGGGGGUUAGCAUUUUGGAAGCUCCCUCCCCCCAGUUUGGGAUUCCUUUUGUAACAGUAGUAGUUGUGCCGAUUCCAUCAGUUGUGUAGUUGCAGGGUCUUGUUUAUAAAGGCAAA